UUUAGCAUUAAUAUUUAUUUUCUUUUAGAAUAAUUAAUAUUAAUUAGUAGUUUUAUUAUAUGUUUAUUAAGAGUUCAUCAAUUCUUCUAUUCUCUUAUUUCUUCUUAGUACAGUUCUACUCUAUUUUUCUGGUUCAUUAGUCAGUCAGUCAUGUGUCAUAUUAUCUUGUCUACUAUUGGUCACAGUCAUUGAGUUCAUAGUUUUUGCCACUCUUUUUGAUAUACCUUGAGAGAAAGCUUUACAUGUAGCAGCCAUAUUUAAAAUAGUUAUAUAGUUUAUAUUCUGGACACUUAUUCCAUAUUAAUCAGGACCAGAAUAUCUUCAUAUUAAAUUAAUCUGGUGAUGUUUCUAAACAGGAGAUAGACCUUUGUACCAUAUACAUGGGUUGAUUUAUUUAUGUCGUAUGAAUAAAUGAAUAAUCAAACUUGACGAAUCCUUUUAUUCGCCACAAGAACCCUAUUUCAUUUGGCGCCCACUAGUAGGUUAGACGUUCAACGACAUAUUUCCUGUUGGAGCCUCACUAAAGGUCAGGAUCUAGGACGUGACAUCCACCGGAAGAUUGGAAAAAUCAGUCGAAAAUAUUGAACACGUUGCUGAAAUUGUUUAUUGUACAGACUAUUUGCUGUUGUAUACAUUGUUUAUGUAAUGAAAUGGUGAGAAUAUAUACAUAGUUUACACUCUAUAUAAAUAUUUUGUAAAUAUUUGGUAUCAGAAAGCCACUAUUGAAGAAAAACAUUGACUUUGAAAACAUCCAAAAUUUGAAAUUGGCCAUUAUCAUGCAUGUUUUGUGUUGAUAUUGUAUAUUAUUGUGCUGUUUAUAAAUUUUCUUUGUUUGAAUAAUACUGACAACUGGUCUGCUUGUCCAAACUUAGAAAAUUUUUGA
Mytilus trossulus (common blue mussel) is the source of this 883-nucleotide long non-coding RNA. RefSeq lists it as uncharacterized. The record is from RefSeq and is a predicted model, not a curated record. Lineage: Eukaryota; Metazoa; Mollusca; Bivalvia; Mytilida; Mytilidae. The transcript has 3 exons.